Molecule: long non-coding RNA, 1097 nt
Organism: Passer montanus (Eurasian tree sparrow)
Lineage: Eukaryota; Metazoa; Chordata; Aves; Passeriformes; Passeridae
Exons: 3
Source: RefSeq, a predicted model, not a curated record
UUUAAUGAUUCCUCCCCUCCCCAUGUGCGUUUUGGAGCAGGAUAUGUUUGAGCACAGCUGCAUUAAGGAUGAGAUGUUAUUUAAUUCAGCUGAUUCCUGGUUGGAUGGGCUAUAAAGGGUGUGGGAGAGGAGCUGGGCUUUCUCCUGCUUGUGUAGGGAGAGUUGUUGGUUUAGAAGGAGCAGAGUGAAGGAAGAUUUACAGCAUCCAAUAAUGCAAUGGCUGGAAGACAAGGAAGUGGCAGAGUAGCAGGGACGAUGCUCUGGAUAUUGGCAGUGAUUCUGAUGCUGUGGGGUCACCAGAUCAGUGGACAAGGGCAAGAUUGAACAACUUUUUCCAAGAAAAGAACAAUACUUCAGGAAACCACGUGUUUUACAUUUGUAUAGUUUUGUAGUUGUGAGCCAGAUGCUGCUGCAGCUGGAACUGCCUAUUGCAUAAUCCCCAACUGUGCUUCUUGAGAUGUGCAUCAAGAUUUACCCUUGGAUUAUACGGUUUAAGUUAUGUAAUACAACAUUCUUGUAGUCUAGAUAAAUUUUUGUGCGAUGUGGCUCAGAAGGCAUUUUUUUUAGUCUGUCAUUUUAAUUUAUGAAAUUUUUUCCUUUUAAACUUAUGUUGUCCUUCUGGAAAAUGGUACUUUUGCUGAGUGUCUAACAAGUCAUAUGAAAAAAUUUUGUAAAAUGGCAUCAAUUUUCUCCAAGGUGAAGCUUCAGCUAGAGCUUACCUCUUUCUAAAGAUAUACAAUUAAUAAAAUUAAUAAAAAAAUAAUUACACAAUUGAUCACACAAUUAAUAAAAUAGUUUUGAACGCACCAAACCACAGAAAACCUUCAGAGCUUGUAUCCUAUAUAUGCACCAAGAAUCAUUCCUCUGUCAAUGGCUCUCCCUACUUUGGAUCUCCAAUAACUGACAUAAAAUGAGUUGAUGCUGAAGAAUAAAUGGGUGCUGAUGAUAAUGGAGCCCUAAAAUGUGAAUAUAAUGUGAAUCAUUUUAUAAAUCCAUUGAAAACCAGGUGGUGGUCUCCUAUAAAUUAAUGCAUGUGUGUCCUUCAUAUGAAUAUGAACUGUGAAAGUUUAUUUCAUUCUUUCUGUGAUUUUUUUUCU